This 875-nucleotide ribosomal RNA is filed under the name uncultured archaeon. Its description in RNAcentral is "bacterial SSU rRNA". It matches the Rfam family "Archaeal small subunit ribosomal RNA", at positions 21 to 903 of the family's 1478-position model. The record is from RNAcentral.
CCUGACUGCUAUCGGAUUGGUACUAAGCCAUGUGAGUCGUUGUAGCAAUACAAGGCAUACGGCUCAGUAACACGUAGUCAAUCUAACCUAUGGACGGGGAUAACCUCGGGAAACUGAGGAUAAACCCCGAUAGAUCAUUAUACCUGGAACGGUUUAUGGUCCAAACGAUUCGUCGCCGUAGGGUGGGACUGCGGCCUAUCAGCUUGUUGGUGAGGUAAUGGCCCACCAAGGCUAUUACAGGUACGGGCUCUGAGAGGAGAAGCCCGGAGAUGGGUACUGAGACACGGACCCAGGCCCUAUGGGGCGCAGCAGGCGAGAAACCUUUGCAAUGUGCGCAAGCACGACAAGGUUAAUCCGAGUGUUUCCUGCUAAAGGAAUCUUUUGUUAGUUCUAAAACCACUGAUGAAUAAGGGGUGGGCAAGUUCUGGUGUCAGCCGCCGCGGUAAAACCAGCACCUCAAGUGGUCAGGAUGAUUAUUGGGCCUAAAGCAUCCGUAGCCUGUUCUAUAAGUUUCCGGUUAAAUCCAUUAGCUCAACUAAUGGGCUGCCGAAAAUACUGUAGAACUAGGGAGUGGGAGAGGUAGACGGUACUCGGUAGGAAGGGGUAAAAUCCUUUGAUCUAUUGAUGACCACCUGUGGCGAAGGCGGUCUACCAGAACACGUUCGACGGUGAGGGAUGAAAGCUGGGGGAGCAAACCGGAUUAGAUACCCGGGUAGUCCCAGCUGUAAACGAUGCAGACUCGGUGAUGCCCUGGCUUGUGGCCAGUGCAGUGCCGCAGGGAAGCCGUUAAGUUUGCCGCCUGGGAAGUACGUACGCAAGUAUGAAACUUAAAGGAAUUGGCGGGGGAGCACCACAAGGGGUGAAGCCUGCGGUUC